This 219-nucleotide unclassified non-coding RNA is filed under the name plant metagenome. Its description in RNAcentral is "partial contains small subunit ribosomal RNA, internal transcribed spacer 1, and 5.8S ribosomal RNA". The record is from RNAcentral.
CGUAGGUGAACCUGCGGAAGGAUCAUUAAAGAGAAUAUGCCCUUCGGGGUAGAUCUCCCACCCUUUGUUUAUAUUACCUUUGUUGCUUUGGCAGGCCCGUCUUCGGACCACCGGCUUCGGCUGGUCAGUGCUUGCCAGAGGACCCAAAACUCUUAUUAUUAAUGUCGUCUGAGUACUAUAUAAUAGUUAAAACUUUCAACAACGGAUCUCUUGGUUCUG